AUGGCCAGGGUAUUAGCAUUUUUCUGCUUCUUCUCCUUGUCGUGCAUAUGCUCCCAUGCUCGGCUCCCUCCCUCUCCAAGGAGCAGCAAUGGCACGGCUGACGAGCUCGCACUCCUCUCUUUCAAGUCCAUGCUAUCCUCCCGCUUGCUGGAUUCAUGGAACACGUCAAGCCACUACUGCAGCUGGCCAGGGGUUGCAUGCGGCCGUCGUCACCCUGAUAGGGUCAUCUCGUUGCGGAUGGGCUCCUUCAAUCUAACAGGGCACAUCUCACCAUUCUUGGGAAACUUGUCCUUUCUCAGAGAGCUUGACCUCCGCGACAACCAGCUCAUCGGGCAGGUACCUCCAGAACUUGGCCGUCUCGGCAGACUUCAAUUGCUCAACUUUAGUGCGAAUUUUCUCCAAGGCGAGAUCCCAACUGAGAUUGGUGCCUUGAAGAAUCUGUACAUCUUGAACCUACAAGAGAAUGGAUUCUCCGGAGGGAUCCCUCAUUCUCUGGCAGACUUGCCGUGGCUCGAAUUCUUGUUUUUAUCCAAUAAUAGAUUAUUUGGCGAGAUACCGUCAUCUCUAGGCAACCUCUCCCUUAUGCAUCUUGAUCUCAUGGGUAACAACCUAUCGGGACCUAUCCCUCCAUCUCUGGGAAUGAUGUCCAGCUUAUCAUGGCUCAGCUUAGGCUACAAUAAUCUAAGUGGACCGAUUCCGGUGUCUAUUUGGAACAUUUCCUCUCUGAUGGGUCUAAGUGUCGAGCACAAUAUGCUAGGUGGCACAUUGCCUUCAGAGGCAUUCAGCUCACUUUCCUAUCUCGAGUUUAUACUGAUGGACAAUAAUCUCUUUCAUGGACGUCUACCAGCCUCAGUAGCGAAUGUCACUAACGUGAAACGGCUCCAGUUUGGCCCUAACUUCUUCAGCGGCACUGUACCUGCCGACCUUGGAAGGUUAGGUUAUCUCUUGUCCCUUGAGCUCUCAAGCACUUCGCUUGAAGCCAAAGAACCCAACGACUGGGAAUUCAUAACUGCCUUAACAAAUUGCUCCCAGUUACAAAAUUUGGAAUUAGGUUCCUCCAAGUUUGGGGGUGUCCUUCCUUCUUCAGUUUCUAACCUUUCCACUUCGCUAAAACGUUUAGACCUUCAAUCCAACACAAUUUCAGGAAACAUACCAAAAGAUAUUGGCAAUCUCGCAAACUUAGAAUAUCUUGUGCUAGAUAGUAACUCUUUCAGAGGGACUCUUCCCUCCACCUUUGGGAGGCUCAAUAAACUUCAGCUUUUCUCUGUAGAAAACAACAAAAUUAGUGGGUCAAUCCCAUUGACGUUUGGAAAUCUUACAGAAUUGAUCAGUUUAGAACUCCAAGCAAAUGCUUUUAGUGGCAAUAUACCAAGCACGGUAGGAAACCUGACCAAGUUGUUGACACUGAACCUUGCCAGCAACAAAUUUUCAGGCCAAAUUCCUAUUGCGGUAUUCAACAUCUCCACACUUUCCCUAAUUUUGGAUCUGUCGUACAACAACUUUGAGGGAUCAAUACCACAAGAAAUAGGGCAUCUAAAAAAUCUUGUAGAAUUCCAUGCUGAGUCCAACAUGUUAUCAGGUGAAAUUCCUGUUGGCUUGGGUGAGUGCCAGCUUCUUCAGAAUAUCUAUAUCCAAAACAAUUUUCUAAAUGGUACUAUCCCGUCACUCCUUAGUCAACUGAAAGGUCUUCAAAAUCUUGACUUCUCGAACAACAAUCUUUCAGGUCUGAUACCUAGCUUCUUAGGCAACCUUAGCACGCUCUAUCAACUAAAUCUUUCAUUCAAUAGCUUUGCCGGCCAAGUGCCAACCUUUGGUGUUUUUGCAAAUUCUUCGGCGAUCUCAAUUGAAAACAAUGGCAAACUCUGCGGAGGCAUACCUACUCUACAUUUGCCUCCUUGUUCAUUGGACAUACCAAAGAAAAGGCAUAGAUUUCUUAUAAUUCCUAUUUCCCUUCCUCUCGUUACAACAAUUGUCGUACUUGCAUUGCUAUGCAAGCUCUGCAUAGUGCACAAGAAAAGCAAACAAAAGAUACCUUCCACAACAUCCAGACAAGGCCUCCCAAUGAUCUCUUAUUUGCAGUUGGCAAAAGCAACGGAUGGUUUCUCGUCAACAAAUUUAAUAGGUUCUGGAUCAUUUGGGUCAGUGUACAAAGGAGUCAUAGAUGACCAAGCUGAAGAAAGUACAAACCUUGUUGCAGUGAAGGUGUUGAAAGUUCACACUCCUGGGGCACUUAAGAGUUUCAUUGCUGAAUGUGAAGCACUAAGAAAUGUGAGGCACCGAAAUCUUGUGAAGAUAAUUACGGCUUGCUCAAGCAACGAUAACAAGGGGAAUGACUUCAAAGCUAUUGUGUUUGACUUCAUGCCAAAUGGUAGUUUAGAUGUUUGGCUACAUCCUUAUACAAAUGAGCAAACAGAGUGUAUGUACCUAGAUCUACUUCAAAGAGUGACCAUACUACUCGAUGUGGCUUAUGCAUUGGAUUAUCUCCAUUGUCAAGGCCCUGCACCUGUUGUACAUUGUGAUCUUAAGCCAAGUAACGUGCUCUUGGAUGCUGAUAUGGUAGCCCACGUUGGAGACUUUGGACUUGCUAGGAUUCUUGUUGAUGAAAGUUCGUUCUGCCAGCACUCAACGAGCUCAAUGGGUCUUAGAGGAACAAUUGGUUAUGCUGCUCCAGAGUAUGGUGCUGGAAAUAUGGUGUCAACACACGGAGACAUUUACAGCUUCGGAAUUCUUGUCUUGGAAACUAUAACUGCUAAGAGGCCCACUGAUAGCAGAUUUGGACAAGGAUUGGGUCUAUGUGAGUAUGUCGAGCUGGCCCUACAUAAUAACAGUGUGAUGGGCGUUGUUGACUCAAGGCUGCCUUUGGACCUCAAAAGUGACCAUCAGACCAUUGAUUAUCAUUCAAAUAAGAGAAACGUUGAUUGCCUCGUUUCAGUACUUAGACUUGGAAUAUCUUGCUCUCAGGAAUCACCAUCGUCUAGAAUGCCAACACGGGGUAUCAUCAAGGAACUGAAGGCCGUCAAAGAAUCUUUGUCAACACAAUGA
Molecule: ribosomal RNA, 3042 nt
Filed under: Triticum aestivum (bread wheat)
Lineage: Eukaryota; Viridiplantae; Streptophyta; Magnoliopsida; Poales; Poaceae
Description: partial small subunit ribosomal RNA
Source: RNAcentral